RNAcentral lists this unclassified non-coding RNA (266 nucleotides) under Hevea brasiliensis (rubber tree). The record is from RNAcentral. Lineage: Eukaryota; Viridiplantae; Streptophyta; Magnoliopsida; Malpighiales; Euphorbiaceae.
GUAAUUUUUAACAAUUUUGAGGGUGUUAGACCUGAUUGAGUUCAAUAGUAAGAUACCUCUUCUAUUGAUAUUGACACUUAAUUUUUUAUAGUUUUUAGGUGCAUUGAUGUGGUUGUUACUUAUAUUGUUAUGUUUAUGUGGCUGUCAAGUGCCAAUCUCUAGUGGCUUUCGCAUGCCACAAUGUUUUCAUCGGAUUCUGAACAACACAUUGCUUCAUGGGUUGCAUUCCUGUGACCAACCUUUCAACUCUAUUUGGUUAAUGAGAA